CUCUGUCCUGUGCCAGUGUAGGGAUGUGCCAUGAACACUACAGCACUCAGCUGCUUCCAGCCUGUGGAAUAACUGAUGGAUAACACAAGAGAGGAGUCCCUGGGAGUGGGAUCUCCUCUGCAGGACCAAGAGGCAGAUUUAAACUCCCUGCUGAAUGGUGCUGGCCAGGAAAGCCAUUUGACAGUAUCUACUGCUCAGUAUUCAGCACAUCAGCAAGCCCCAGGUUUUUUUAUUCAUUCUGGAAGAGGAGAAUGACUGUUCCACACUACCCUGUGUUUGCAGCAGAGUCCUGUUGAAACAACCCCAUUCCACACUAAUGCUG
RNAcentral lists this long non-coding RNA (322 nucleotides) under Parus major (Great Tit). Its description in RNAcentral is "lncRNA (ENSPMJG00000010343.1)". Lineage: Eukaryota; Metazoa; Chordata; Aves; Passeriformes; Paridae. The record is from RNAcentral.